RNAcentral lists this long non-coding RNA (201 nucleotides) under Elaeis guineensis (African oil palm). RNAcentral describes it as "long non-coding RNA (EGUI_LNC017411)". The record is from RNAcentral. Lineage: Eukaryota; Viridiplantae; Streptophyta; Magnoliopsida; Arecales; Arecaceae.
AUGGUAAAAUUAUUUUGACCAUUGUUUCUUCUGAAAUAGCAUCACUUCUAUUAUCCGAUGGCCGAACGAUAUAUUCUAAAUUUAAAAUUUUGAUCUAAGUUGAUGACUACUCAAUAUAUGAAAUUAAAAAAGGUACAUAGCUCACAAAAUUGACUAAAUUAAUAUGUUUGAUAGUUUGAGAUGAAACUCCUAUGAAUCAUA